UGAAGGUUGAGUAACAUCAACUGGAGGACCGAACCGACUAAUGUUGAAAAAUUAGCGGAUGACUUGUGGCUAGGGGUGAAAGGCCAAUCAAACUCGGAGAUAGCUGGUUCUCCCCGAAAGCUAUUUAGGUAGCGCCUCGGACGAAUACUACUGGGGGUAGAGCACUGUUAAGGCUAGGGGGUCAUCCCGACUUACCAACCCUUUGCAAACUCCGAAUACCAGUAAGUACUAUCCGGGAGACACACGGCGGGUGCUAACGUCCGUCGUGGAGAGGGAAACAACCCAGACCGCCAGCUAAGGUCCCAAAGUAUUGCUAAGUGGGAAACGAUGUGGGAAGGCUCAGACAGCUAGGAUGUUGGCUUAGAAGCAGCCAUCAUUUAAAGAAAGCGUAAUAGCUCACUAGUCGAGUCGGCCUGCGCGGAAGAUGUAACGGGGCUAAGCAAUACACCGAAGCUGCGGCAAUGUCUUUUAGACAUUGGGUAGGGGAGCGUUCUGUAAGCCGUUGAAGGUGAAUCGUAAGGUUUGCUGGAGGUAUCAGAAGUGCGAAUGCUGACAUGAGUAACGACAAAGGGGGUGAAAAACCUCCUCGCCGGAAGACCAAGGGUUCCUGUCCAACGUUAAUCGGGGCAGGGUGAGUCGACCCCUAAGGUGAGGCCGAAAGGCGUAAUCGAUGGGAAACGGGUUAAUAUUCCCGUACUUCUGACUAUUGCGAUGGGGGGACGGAGAAGGCUAGGUGGGCCAGGCGACGGUUGUCCUGGUUCAAGUGCGUAGGCUUGAGAGUUAGGUAAAUCCGGCUCUCUCUAAGGCUGAGACACGACGUCGAGCUACUACGGUAGUGAAGUCAUUGAUGCCAUGCUUCCAGGAAAAGCCUCUAAGCUUCAGAUAGUCAGGAAUCGUACCCCAAACCGACACAGGUGGUCGGGUAGAGAAUACCAAGGCGCUUGAGAGAACUCGGGUGAAGGAACUAGGCAAAAUGGUACCGUAACUUCGGGAGAAGGUACGCUCUUGAUGGUGAAGUCCCUCGCGGAUGGAGCUGACGAGAGUCGCAGAUACCAGGUGGCUGCAACUGUUUAUUAAAAACACAGCACUGUGCAAAAUCGCAAGAUGACGUAUACGGUGUGACGCCUGCCCGGUGCCGGAAGGUUAAUUGAUGGGGUUAGCGCAAGCGAAGCUCUUGAUCGAAGCCCCGGUAAACGGCGGCCGUAACUAUAACGGUCCUAAGGUAGCGAAAUUCCUUGUCGGGUAAGUUCCGACCUGCACGAAUGGCGUAAUGAUGGCCACGCUGUCUCCACCCGAGACUCAGUGAAAUUGAAAUCGCUGUGAAGAUGCAGUGUACCCGCGGCUAGACGGAAAGACCCCGUGAACCUUUACUACAGCUUGGCACUGAACAUUGAACCUACAUGUGUAGGAUAGGUGGGAGGCUAUGAAGACGUGACGCCAGUUGCGUUGGAGCCGUCCUUGAAAUACCACCCUUGUAUGU
This 1480-nucleotide ribosomal RNA is filed under the name Vibrio cholerae. RNAcentral describes it as "partial 23S ribosomal RNA". It matches the Rfam family "Bacterial large subunit ribosomal RNA", at positions 746 to 2213 of the family's 2925-position model. The record is from RNAcentral. Lineage: Bacteria; Pseudomonadati; Pseudomonadota; Gammaproteobacteria; Vibrionales; Vibrionaceae.